Molecule: RNA transcript, 2666 nt
Organism: Lotus japonicus
Lineage: Eukaryota; Viridiplantae; Streptophyta; Magnoliopsida; Fabales; Fabaceae
Exons: 6
Source: RefSeq, a predicted model, not a curated record
UCUCCCACUAUCUCAUGAAUGUGUUUUCUCUUUCUCUCCCCCAACCUCCUCUUUAAUGCCGGUGUCUGUUUGAUUUCCUCUCCCUCUUUAAUUUUCCAUUUUCCAUUUUUUUCGAAACCUACUCUUUCCUCUUCUCCUUUCAGAAUUUUUGAAUUUGAAAUUCAAAUUUUUUAUAUUUCCAAUGUGCAUACCAUUAUGCAUAGCAUUAAGUCCAUCUAUACCCUUCUUCUAUAUUCAUCUCCACCGUCUAUACUGGCCAAUUAUCUGCAGUCUGCACAGCUCCCAUGGUAUUGCUUUGAAUUUUUUCUUUUUGAAAGGUGGUGCUUUGAAAUUGAAAGCAUAUGUUUUGGAACUUCAAAAUCAAAAUUGUGUUUUCAUCUAAUCUGCCCACUAUAUUUAGAGGAAAGCUCAUCUGACCAUAGCUCCCUCCUUUCUCGCCAAAGCUCUACCACACCAGGGAACUUGCGUUCUCCUUCUCCGACCUCCUCCUCCGCUCCCAGCCUGAAGCAACUCCAUCGUCUUCAUCCUCCUCCGUGAAUCGGUUCUCUCCACUGCCUCCGAUCUCAUCAUCAGCACCACCCGUGUUGUGGAAUUCACGAGAUUGACAGUGACAUCGCCGAAGAACAUCAAUCGCACGCACGACUCCUGGGAUUAGUUUGGAAAUAGAUCCCUUUCUUAUAUCUUCUCUCCACUGUCUCACUCACCAUCGCAUUCUCCUGCACUUCUCCCUCUUCCCACCCAUCUUUCUCCAACAAUUAGUUUUAGGGUUUAGUGUUUCAUUUGCAAUCCCAGAGGAUUUAGAAACCUCUCUCUUCUUCAUCUUCACAUCUACCAUGACGAUGAUAAAUUCCUUCUUCAACCAGCUUUAUUCAUCUCCUCCGUCGCCCACCUUACCCACGCCAAUAACUCCUCCUCCUCCUUUGUCUGACCUCCUCAAGACCCAACCCCAGCCGCCCCAUCCUUUUCUCCUCUUCCUUCUUCAUCUUUCAUCAGAUACGAGCUCACUAGAGUUGUCGACGGUGAGCGGCGGAGCAAGGUAACUUCUCCAUGCUCGCCCAGAGCUUCCUAGGGAUGACCUUGAAGAUUCCAGUUUUAGAUAAAGGUUAUGAGGAAUAAGUUGAUUGGAGAGGUAAGCCAACAUAGAAAUAGAAACUGUUUCUAUUUCCAUUUUAAAUUUUGGUUUUCUUUCAGUUUGGUUUUAGGUUUAUAGAACUUGAAAUACAUAUGUGAGACCUGCUGUGCAUUGGGUUUUGUUAUGAUUUCUCCAGCUCCUUGGAAUACAAAUAUGUUCAUGUUAAUCUAACUAUUAUAUUUACUUCAUCCUGUAGUCGUGGUACUCCAUGACUCCAUGUCAGAAUUAAUUCUCUUAUCUUACAUAUAUGAUUUGGUUGUUGAAGUAGGACCAAAAGCAAAUGAGAGAUUAAUCAACAUUGGAGCUGAGGAAUAGCAGAAGUUCUUGAUAUCCAGAUUUUCCAAACAAUGUUCAUGUUACUGAAUUUUAUUUACUGUGUGAUUUUUUUUUUAAUUUUUGAAGUUCUGAUUUUUGUUAGUUUAUUCACUGCAACUUCUAAUACCUUUUGAUGGCACACUGCAACUUCUAAUAUGUCCAAGACUUCAGGUUUUCAAUACUAGAUUACGCUCCCAAGUGAUUUUACUUGGUAGAGAUAACUAGGUCAGCGAUUACGGAACUUUAGAUAUUCGCAAUGUUAUUGCAUGGUGGAGCUGAUUGUGGUUUGGAGCGUUAGUUUAUGUAUGAAGUGUUGUCUUUCUUACUGCUCUCAAACAUUAACUCAUCCAACAGAUGGAAUGUUCCUUAUAGAAAUUGAUGUAAUUGUUUCAAUGAUUGUUAAUUUAAUUUUUGAAAUAAAUUUAGGAUCUUAAUGUCGAGUUUGUUAACGCUGAAAAUUCCAAUGCUGUGGAGACGUCUAAUUCUCCUGCUGUUGACUUGAGUUCGGAUACUCAGCGAAUCUCUCAUGUCCGUUCUGAUCCAACUCCAAAAGUUAAAAUUGUUGGAGAUAAGUCUGCAAAACUUGAUAUGACCCUAAAAGAGAUUGAACCUGUUGGUGAAUUGGACAUCAAUAAGUCUGCUGAUUCUGAUGGUUCCAGUGGCGAGCAAUCUCCUCGAGCUACUGUUGUUCCUCUUGCUUGCAUUAGUUCAACUAAGAAAUCUACUAAAACGUAUUUGAAGUCUAAGGAAAAGAUGAAGAGUGUUGGUGUUGAAUCGGCUGAAGCUAUCCAAGUUGCUAAAACUGCUAAAGAGCCUGAAGUGGAUGUAUCUGUUGCAAGCCAGAUUUCCCCUCCUUCCAAGUGUCCAUCCCCCCUGAUGCCGAAGUUGUUGGAGUCUCAGUUGCUGGCAAGAAACCCCUGAAAGCUAUGAAAAAGGAGAAGAUCUGAAGACUGUUUUGUGUUGUGUUGGCUGUUUUGAUGUUUUGUUAUUGUGGUUGUCUUUUCAAGCUGUUAAGUGUGUUGUUUUGUAGUCCUGGAUGUUAGUUAGUUUGUCAGUGUUGUGUUUUCUGUUUUUUCAGUUUCAUUUCAAUCUUAAUGUUCAAUCUGCCUAUUAUUAGUAUGUUUUGGGAUGGCAGAUUGGUUUAUUCAGGUCUCUGUUUUGUUGUCUUUUGGUCCGAACGAAAAUGAAUUGAAUGAAAGAAGUUAUUUUGAGUCUCAAA